Molecule: microRNA precursor, 103 nt
Filed under: Marmota monax (woodchuck)
Lineage: Eukaryota; Metazoa; Chordata; Mammalia; Rodentia; Sciuridae
Source: RNAcentral
AAUGGGAUAACUGGGUCAAAUGGUAGUUCCAUUUCAAGUUUUCUGAGGAAUCUCCAUACUGCUUUCCAGAGUGGUUGUUCCAGUUUACAGUCCUACCAGCAAU